GAUUGCCCCAAAAUAUUUGAAAUUUUCAGAAACCCUAGGGUUUCUAUCCACUCCAGCGCCGCAGCCUCGGUCGCCCCGCACCCCACGUGCCUCCGUCAGCGUACCAUCUGCCCGAUGGUUGCUUCCUUGCACCGAAAUAGCAAGGUUUUCCUUCAUUGACCCUCCGUAGACCUGCAAACAUGACAAAGAAGGACAACAAGAACAAAAGCAGAGCAACAAAGAUAAAAUGCAUAAAAUUUAAUAGCAAAUACACAGUGUUGUAAAGGCUAUAAAAGCCAGAAUCGACGAUGUAAUAGGGAUCUUUUUUUUUUACAGCAUAUUAAUCAAAAAAAUUCAAAGCAAAAAAAGUGAUUCUUUUUUCGAUUUAAUAUUUCGCAAUUCUUUCUGGCAAGUUUUUUCUUGUUUCUGUAUUAUAGGGAUUAUUUACUAAAGAAAAUAAGAGGGAAAUGAUAAAGGAAAGUCACUUACCCGAGCCUUGAAUCGUUGGUGUAUCAUCGGAGUUCUUCUCCAUUAAAAUCGAACCCAACAAAGGUGGGAACUUUCUUUUUGAUUCUUCGUGGUGGAAAGUGUCAAAUCCUCGAAUAGGGGUCUAAACGGGGUUAAAGAACGAGAAGACCACCCUCCGUCGACCGCCGUUUGCGGUGGCUACAUGGCGGCUAGGGUUUGGUCUCUUUAGGGUUCGCAGAAAUGUGGAAGAAGGGGCUGCUCUCUUUCUGUUUGUUUUGCAGAAAAAAAAGGAAGAAAUAAAAGAGUAACAAAAAUUUAGUUUUAACAGCAAUGCAAAACGGUGCCGUUUUGCACCAAGGGCAUCAGCACUGAAACGGCGCCGUUUUAGGCGACCCGACUCGCUCCAGGGAGGAAUCCGCGUGUUUCACUCAUUUGGGUUUAUUGUGCGUUUGGUCCUUCCAUUUUCAGGGCGCUACAACCUGGUCUCUAUUUAAUUCUUUUAUUCUUUUAAGUUUCGCCGCACAUUUUGUGCCUGCUUCAGUUUAGUCCAUGUUGAAACGCAGCGCAUAGGGGCAAAGGAUAAUUUCCUAAUCAGCCCUCCAUGUGUUUCAGCGUGUUUCACCUAGGUCCCCGAUGACCUAUUUUUGUUAUUUAUAAUUUUUUCCCUUGAAUUUCAACUUGAUCUCAGCCUAGUCCUAGCCUAUUAAUUUGUCUAUUUGUUUAUUUAUUCAGUUUUUUUUGAACUGUUUUAGUUUUAUUUAUUUUAAGUUUGUUUUAAUAUACCAUUUAUUUUAAAUCACUUCACUAUUAUGUAUAUUGAGAUCAAAUUUGCACAUUUUAAAGUAUUAUUCUUUUAUUGUUAUUAUUAUUAAAUAUUUUUUAUUUAUUUUAAACUAUCAUACAUACUUUUAUUUGGAGAUUAUACAUAUACCUCUUGUUUUACACUAUUAUAUAUACGCUUAUUUUAAGUUUCCUAUAUGUCAUUUAAUCGCAUUAUUUCGCCUGCUAGUUAUCUUAAAUUCUUUUAUUAGAUAUUAUAAACCUCUUUGUCAUUAUUUGAUCUAAAAAUUCAUAUAUUACCUAUAUUAGAUUGUUUAUAUAUAUAUAUAUAUGUAUAUAUAUAUAUCUUUUAUAUAUUAUUUAUUUUAAAGUUACUUUUCAUAUAUUAUUUACGUCAAACUCCUUCAUACUAUUUUCAAAUAUUUUAAAUAAUUUAUUUUAGGUUGCCCUAUAUAUUAUUUUGUCAUCUUGAAUAUUAAUGAUUUCUAAAUUUUUUAUGCCAUUUACUUUAAAUCGUUUUUGUAGUAUCUACUCUAAACUUGUUUUCCAUACCUAUUAUCUAUUUAGAAUUGUCUUAUUGUUUAUUCAAAUUGCUUUAUCAUUCAUUUUAUUUCUUUUCGAUUAUUAAAGUUGGUGCCUAAAUUACUUGUGUUGUUCGAUUAUCGCCAUUACGCAUCAAAGUUCUUUAUUCAUGUUUUCAUGUAUUUGUGGUUCAUUAUUAUAACAUUCAUUCGUAAAUUAUUAUGCCAUGCUCGAUAUUGUCAUAUAUUUUCAUUCCAUUAAAGCCAUUUCAAAAACCACAAGUGGUAUGUUCGUUUUAUUCAAAAUAAGGCAACAUUUCGUGUUUGGAAAUUUCGAGAAAAUCGUGCCCUACGUGCUAGGUUUCGAUUUAUUAUUUAACCGAACAACCGAAUAUCCUUUUUAAAAUUUCAAUGCAUAAGUUUUGGAAAUCCUGAGAUGAUUUUGGUAUCGAAGGUUUGAAAUAUCAUGUCCUACGUACUGGAUGUGAUAUUUUAUUUCUUCGAAACAAGAGAAUCUUAAUCGCUUCAUACUAUGGCAUUUUUAUUCAAGACUUUUUUAAAACAAGGCAAAAUUUCGUGUUCAGAAAUUUCGAGAAAUUGUGCCCUACGUGUUGGGUUUCGAUUUAUCGUUUGACUGAACAACCGAAUAUCCUUUUUUAAAAUUUCAAUACAUGAGUUUUGGAAAUCAUGAGAUAAUUUUGGUAUCGGAGGUUUGAAAUAUCGUGUCCUACGUGUUGGAUGUGAUAUUUUAUUUCUCCGGAACAAGAAAAUCUUAAUAUCCACUUCAAGUUAUCCAAACAUUCAUAAAAAGGGAUCAUAUUUCAAAAUUUAUUUUAAAUCUUUUCAAUUUUCGACAUUAAGACAUUAAUUAAUCAAUUAGGUACCAAUUUUGGGCGUUAUGAGGGUGCUAAUCCUUCCUCGUACGUAACCGACUCCCGAUCCCAUUUUCUCAAAUUUCGUAGACCAAAAUCGUUGUUUUAGUAAACCAAAAUGUUUUAUUAAAAUGACCAAACUUCUUGGUGAUCCGAUCACACCUAAACAAAAAAGAUUGGCGGCGACUCCCAAUUUUCGUUUUUUUUUCAAAAUAUAAAGUCGAUCCUCGUUUUUCAAAAAAAUGGUUUCGACAACUUGGCAACUCUGCUGGGAAUUUCGAGAGUCGAGCCAUAAAUUGAUUGAUUUUUGUCCUUUGUUGAAAAUUACAAAUUCGUUUUAAACUUAUGAUCCCUUCAUUGCAUUUCAUCCAUUUUCCUACGGUUUUCAUUAUUUUAUUCCUAUUUUCUUUAUUGCUUAUUAGACAUAUAUCCUCGCACAUUGCAUUGCAUGACUGUUAUGGUCACGCCUCUUAAGUGGGAGUGAGAAACUAUUCCUUCGUGAGGUUUUCACCUACGUGUAGGAUAGUGGAUCGCUUUCGGGAUACAUCCGUACCUAUGUCUUCGUGAGAUUUUCAUCUCCGUUUAGCCAUAGGGAAAUGUAUUCCCCUGAACCGAACUCGGUCUAUAUGAGCCUAUAAUGGGUGAGGAUCGAGGAAUCUGCUGGUUCGGGUACCCUUACUCUAGAACCAAACCACAUAUAAUGAGUCCUAAGAGCCUACCCUAGGUAGAGCCGCACCAGACCCUAGUGAUUACCCGAGUAGGUGCUUGAUAUUUCCUGUUUGCUUCGAGUUCUAUUACAUAAUACUGACUUACUGUAUUUUGCUGUUAUUGCAUAGCAUUUCAUCAUAAAAAUGUGUUGAUUCCCGUUCGGUUACCAAGUAGAAGAGCUUAGCAUGGAAAAAGGGGUUUCUUAAUAGAGUGGAGGAUAAUGCGGUAGUCCGAGUAUGGUCCGAGACGACACAACAAGAGAAAGGUAAUAGUUUGACCAAAGGAUAUGAAUCAGAAUUAUGGGAUUUCACUCGCAUCAGUGUGACUCAAAGUGACCUAGAAGAAUUAAAAGAGAUAUGGGGUCAAUAGAAUGACGAGGUCAAACAACUAUUUUAUUGUAAUUACGGUAACCUACCCUAUUUACUCGAUGCAAAGGUGGACAAGCAUCUGUUUCGAUCCCUCGUGCAGUUUUGGAAUCCUGCCUACAGUUGCUUCACCUUCAGAAGAGUCGAUUUGGUACCUACUGUGGAGGAGUACAUGGCUUUACUUCGUUGCCUGAAGAUUCAGGUCGACAAAGCCUAUUCAAGAGCUACUAAUGUCACGGCUUUCGUGAAAAAUUUAGUGAGUAUAAUGGGGAUGAGCGAACAGUGGGUUGUAAGUCGAAUUAAGCAUAAAGGAGACAGUAAAUGUAUUCCUUGGAAGAACUUGAGGGAUUUAAUUCUAGCACAUCCGGAUAUGAAGAAGAAGGUUGACAUUUUUGCUCUAAGCAUCUACGGUUUGGUUGUCUUUCCUAAGGCUUUAGGAUAUAUAGAUAAAGCGGUCUCAGACCUUUUUGAUCGACUUGAUAAAGGGGUCACACCCAUCCCGGCAAUUUUAGCAGAAACUUUCAGAUCCUUGAAUGCAUGUCGGAGGGCAGGUGAAGGAAGAUUCAUAGGGUGUGCUCAGUUAUUGUUGGCUUGGUUUCAUAGCCACUUUUGGAGAGUAAAAAAGGUCUCCUAUCGAGUUUUCUCCGAGAACUACUCCCUACUGAAAGAAUUAGUAGGUACGUCAAGGCGGGAUAACCUUUCUGAAGAGAAGUGGAUGGUGAUUCUCCAGAAUCUACAAGUUGAAGAUAUCGAGUAGAGGGCCCUAUGGAUGAUCCCUGGUAAGAUCUUAUAUCGGUGUGGGGACUUUGACUGGGUCCCCUUACUUGGGAUAUGGGGAGCCAUUGGGUAUGCUCCACUACUUGUUUUAAGACAAUAUCGUUCGAGGCAGUUCGUACCAACGACACAAAGUUUAACUCAAUGUGAGUUCUCUUAUAAGUACGACAAUUAUAGGAAAAAGGUUCAUGAUAUGUCAAAUGCUUGGAAACAAACCCGAAGAAUGAAAGGAUUCACGGCAUGUCCAAUGACGACCCCCGAGUAUGACUAGUGGUGGGGUAAAAGAGUCAACGACAACAUCCCAAUGCCAAGUUAGAAAAAUGCCCGACCGAUAGAAGAGCAUUUACAAGUAGUCCCAUUCGAGUUAGAAAUCAUCAAGCAAGACUUUGAGAAAAGGAGCUCGGAAUUGGGAAAGAAGAUAGAGCAAUUAGAGGAGGAAAAGAUGUGGCUAGGAUUAGAUGUCGACAUCCACAAGCUAGAGGCUGAGAAGGUAAGGAAAGGGAAGAAUAAAGCUGAAGAGGACUUGGAUAGUCUGAAGAUUGAUUAUAAGAAGCUACGUAUGUCGAUAAGAACUGUCAGUUUGGGUAAAACGUCGGAUCAGUGGUGUCAAGAAAUUGAAAAAGAAAAGGCUAGAGCCGAUCACUGGGAGAAAAAGUUUCAAGAUGUUUGAGUGUAGGAAGAUGUUUUGAAAAAGAAUUUGUCAAAAAUCCAAAGCGAAAAAGAGAAAUUACAAGCUCGGAUAGCCGAGCUAGAAAAAUUGCUACAUCUGCAUCGUAGCUGUAACUCUGUAAUUGAGUUGAAAACCGGCCUAAGCAAAAUUGAGAAGUUGAAAGGAAAAUAGAGGAACUCGAGACGACACUACAAGACAGCAAAAGUCGAGUGGAAUUCCUUGAGGCAAACAAUGAACAUUGCAAAGAACAAAUUCACCACUCUCAAGAUCAAAUCAGAAAUAGAGAUUAUGUCAUGGGCGAAACUGUGGCUCAAGUUCGAGAGGUAGCUGAUCAUUUGCAAACCUUGGCAGUUCAGGCUGAUGUAUUGAGCUUAAAGUACAAAUCAGAAUCAGAACGAGGCUGAAACUUAGCUUGGCUUCUUAGGAAAAUUAAGACUUUAGGUAUUAGGGAAAAGUCGUAUGUGUAAUUAUCCGUUCUAUGUAAAGAAAUUUUGCUUCUAGCAAAGUUGUUCUAAUGAAAUUGAAUCAAAAUCAACUCCUCUUUUUGCAUUCAUCCAUUCAUUUGCAUUCAUGCAUUUGCAUUACAUUACAUCAUAUGCAUUAAAGGCCAUAAAAAGAUUCUAAUUAAUUAAAAAUGUUUCAGUAAUCUAAAAACUGACGAAAAUCUCCUAAAUACACAUCCUUACGGUACAAGAAGAAAAACUAAAGCAAUGGAUAAAAAACUAGAAAGACUGGAGCAAAUACAGAAAGAGAUGCAGGAGUAGAUGCAAGCACAAGUGCAAGAACAGUUAGCUAAAAUCUAGUAAGAAAUGAGGGACCAGAUGUUGGAAUCACAAAAAAAUAUGAUGGAAGAGGGCCCUGACUAGUAGGUCGGACAAAGGAAAGGGCCCUAUGGCCGAUAUAGGAAAUAACAAUGGAGAUUCCCUUUACUCAUUGGUUUUACCCCGGCAAAUGCUCAAACGCAACAUGAGACACAUACGCAGAGGCUAUCCAUUACUAAAGAUCCCCUUUACCCCCCAGGUUUCACCCCGACGAAUGCUCAAACGCAACCUGAGCUGCACACACGAAGGCCGUCCAUUACAAUCAUGCCUCAGCAAUUUCAGGCCGAUACCUCAAUGCCAAUCAACUAUCGAACAGGCUCAGGCUCUAAUCCAGGGGAUAACCCUAUUAACCCUAUAAUCCUUGAUCUGGAUAACAUGGCAGAAGAAGAGAGAGUGAGAACAGAGCUCUUAAAAGAAUUGAAAGAUCAAUGCAAGUGGUUAGAGGAAAAGUUCAGAGUGAUGGAAAGUGCAGACUAUCAUUGUCGGAUCGACGCUAAAGAUUUGAGCUUGGUUCUAGACCUAGUCCUUCCCCUUAAGUUCAAAAUGCCAGAAUUUGAAAAAUACAAUGGAACUAGCUGUCUAGAGGCUCACAUCACCAUGUGUUGUCAAAGAAUGGCAGGGUAGGUUCACAAUGAUCAACUAUUGAUCCAUUGCUUCCAAGACAGUUUGGUUGGGUCUGCGGCCAAAUGGUACAACCAACUAAGUUGGGCUCAAAUCCAUUCAUGAAAAGACUUGGUACAAGCUUUCAUGAAGCAAUACGGCCACGUGACAGACAUAGCACCCGAUCGAAUCACGUUAUAGGACAUGGAGAAGAAAAAAAAUGAGAGCUUCAGGCAGUACGCCCAAAGAUGGAGAGAGGUAGCGACGCAAGUACAACCACCUCUUCUGGAGAAAGAAACGACUAUGCUCUUUAUCAACACUCUGAAAGCUCCAUUUAUCAACCACAUGCUAGGAAGUGCUACUAAGAGCUUCUCAGACAUAGUAAUGUCAUGAGAGAUGAUAGAGAACGCGAUAAGAUACAGGAAAAUCGAAACAGGGGAAAAUGCCAAGAAAUCAAUUCCGAGAAGGAAAGAAAAUGAGGUGAACAAUGCAAGCGUAUACAAUAAGAGUUAUUCCAAGCCAGUCACUGUGAGCCAAUCGAAGACAGUGACUACCAGCCAUCAGGGCUCUGCAAGACAAGAUUCAAACCCGAGGCCUAACACGGAAAGAGUCCAAUUUACGCCUAUCCCAAUAUCAUACAGGGAGUUGUAUUAGAGUUUAUUCGAUGCAUAUGUGGUGUCACCUUACUACUUGAAACCCCUAUAAUCUCUAUUCCUUAAGUGGUAUGACGCAAACGCUCAAUGCGAAUACCAUGCAGGAAUAUCGGGACAUAUGAUUGAGAACUGCAAUGCCUUCAAAAAGGUAGUCGAAAGGCUCAUAGACAUGAGCAUUGUGAAGUUUGAUGAGCCCACAAGACCUAAUGUGGUGGGGAAUCCGCUACCUUAUCAUUCAGACAAAGGGGUAAACGUGAUAAUUGAAAAUGGAAGGAGGAGAACCAAGAUGGAUGUAUCAAAGGUAAAAACCCUGUUGAAAUGGGUUUGGAAGAGGAUGGUGGAAGAAGGUUUAGUCACACAAGAUUCAAGGGAAAGGCCUAGAGAAGCGAGAAGAUACUGCGAGUUUCAUGCCGAUGAAGGCCAUGACAUCCAAGAGUGCAAGAAGUUCAGGUCCAUAGUGCAAAAUCUGAAAGACAAUAAGGAGAUGGAAUUUUACGAAGAAAUCAAAGGAUCAGAAGAAUGAGAGGUUUACGCCUUAGAGGAAGGAGCAACAGAAGGGGUCCAAAGAGUUAAUCAUCCUAUGGUGAUAAUUUCGCGACCAAAGAACAAUGAAGCAGGAAUACAAAUGGCGCGGAGAGUCAUAAUCCAGAAGUCGGUAUCCUUCCCUUACAAGGAUAGUAAAAGGGUUCUCUGGAAUUAAGACUGCAACGUGACGAUCUCGGGUGGGAAAAACUCGGCUAGCGCUUCAAGGGAGAACCAAGAUAUAGGUUUCUAUACACGCAAUGGGAGACGUUAUGAUCCUGCGGGUAUAGGAACUGAAACUGUUAAAGGAAAGACCCCAAUAGACGAGCGAAGGAAGGAAAGGACAAUCAAACUUGAAUCACCAGUCAAUGAGCCGGUGACUGAAAAUGAGGCUAAAGAAUUUUUAAGGUUAUUAAAGUACAGCGAAUAUAGCGUUGUAGAAUAACUACAUAAGCAGCCGGCUCGUAUCUCAGUGCUAGCCUUACUUUUGAGCUCGGAGACAUAUCGGAGUGCAUUAAAGAAGGUACUAAACGAAACCUACGUCGCGGAUGAUAUCUCUGUCAGCAAGCUAGACCGUCUCGUCAAUAAUAUAAGUGCCGAUAAUUUCAUAUUUUUCAAUGACAAUAAAAUACCGCCGGAGGGAAUAGGGUCAACAAAGGCGCUACACAUCACCACCCGCUGUAAAGGAUAUACACUAUCGGGAGUAUUGAUUGACAAUGGGUCUGCACUAAAUGUCCUACCCCUAUCCACAUUGAAUAGGUUGCCAGUGGAUAGUUCCCACAUGACGAUGUGCCAAAAUAUAGCAAGGGCAUUUGACGGCACCGAGAGAAAAGCAAUGGGAAGGAUUGAAAUACCCCUUUUGAUCGGUCUAAGCACGUACGAGGUGGAUUUCUUAGUAAUGGACAUCAAACUUUCUUACAAUUGCUUAUUAGGGAGGCCUUGGAUUCACUCAGCAAGGGCAGUGCCAUCAUCAUUACAUCAAAAGCUCAAAUUUAUAACGAAAGGCCGAUUGGUGACCGUAAACGCGGAAGAAGAUAUCAUUGCAUCUGUUACCAGCGAGGCACCAUAUGUGGGGACAGAUGAUGAAACAAUAGAAUACUCUUUCUGAUCACUAGAAUUUGUGAAUGCAACCUUCAUCGUCGAAGGGAACAAGGUCCCGGUGCCCAAAAUCUCCAAAACUACCAGGAUGGGCUUACAACUAAUGGUUGGGAAAGGAGCUUUGCUCAGAAAGGGGCUUGGAAGAAGCUUACAAGGAAGGAUCGAUGCACUCAUGCUCACAGACAAACGAGACCGUUUUGGCUUAGGGUACAAAACAGAUGCAAGGCAAAAGAAAAAAGAGAUAGAGAAGAGGCAAGAGAGGAGAAUAACGCAUUUAAACGGAGAAUAGGUCAAAUGUGAGCCAAUGACCUUUCCUCAUAUAUCUAGAACAUUCGUGUCGAGAGGGACCAUUUACUCUGAAGGAAAAUCAACAAGAAAAUGGUCUGCUUUGAGCGUUAAUGCCAUAUCCGAGGAAGAGACAAGAUAAGAGAAUCAAGUAGGCAUUUGCCCAUACGCGCUUGGGAGCGUCUUGAACAAUUGGACCGCGGAGGAGAUCCCUGUAACUUUUAAAAUUAAUUUAGAGUAACAUCUAAAACACGCUUAUUGCUCUAAGCCUAGGGUCAAUAAGAAUCCUUUUGUGAAAUAGGCUCUUAUCCAAUAUCAUUAUUUCAAUAAAAAUGCAUCUUUGCGUAUCAUCUUGAGCAAAUAUUCUUUUAUUCUUUCCAUUUCAUUCAUAAUCACACCACCAAUAAAUAUUCUUAGAUUCUUUUGUUCUUUGGACCUUUUUUUAUCUCCAUAACAGGUCUCCGGAUAUCAAUGAUAUGAGCAACGCUGCCACUGACUCAGAGUCUCCUUUUGAGCAAGAUAUGUGUACAAAGGAUUCUUAGGAUUUUGGAGAUGACCGAAACUGUAACCUAUCUCCGGAUUUGUUAAGAAUGAUAGAACAAGAUGAGAAACAAAUCCUACCUCACAAAGAGUCAGUGGAAAUCGUGAGCCUAGGAGAGGGAAAAGAUGUGAAGAUUGGAAUUUGUAUCGCCGCAGAAACAAGGCGAGACUUACUACAGAAUUCAAUGAUGUCUUCGCAUGGUCAUAUCAAGACAUACCUGGGUUGAAUACUAAUAUCGUGGUGCACCGACUCCCCAUAAAGGAAGGGUGCAAGCCAGUGCAGCAGAAGCUCCGAAGGAUGAGACCUGAUGUUUUGUUGAAAAUAAAAGAAGAGGUCAAGAAGCAAUUCGAUGCCGGUUUCUUACAAGUGGUUAAGUAUUCAAAAUGGGUAGCUAAUAUAGUCCCUGUCCCUAAGAAAGAUGGGAAGAUGUGAAUGUGUGUAGACUAUCGAGGUCUGAACAAAACCAGCCCAAAGGACAAUUUUCCGUUGCCUCACAUUGAUACAUUAUAGAUAAUACGGCAGGUUACUCACUUUUCUCCUUCAUGGAUGGUUUCUCAGGAUACAACCAGAUAAAGAUGCAUCCCGGAGACAUGGAAAAGACUACAUUCGUGACCAUGUGAGGAACGUUUUGUUAUAAGGUGAUGCCAUUCGGACUGAAGAAUGCAGAAGCAAUAUAUCAGAGAGCCAUGGUAACUCUGUUUCAUGAUAUGAUGCACAAGGAGAUCGAAGUUUACAUUGAUGACAAGAUUGCGAAAUCCAGGACAGAAAAAGAGCACAUACAAGUCUUGAAGAAAUUGUUCUUAAGGUUAAUAAAGUUUCAAUUGAAGCUCAAUCCCGCAAAAUGUACCUUCGGGGCCAGGUCAGGAAAGCUGUUAGGAUUCGUAAUCAGUGAAAGGGGAUCGAGAUAGACCCAGAUAAAGUCAAAGCCAUACAAGAGUUACCUCUGCCACGCAUUCAAAAAGAAGUUCGAGGUUUCCUAAGGAGGCUAAACUACAUCGCCCGGUUUAUUUCACAACUAACGGAGAAGUGUGACCCGAUAUUCUGUCUCCUUAGAAAACAUAACCCAGGUGUAUGGGAUGAGGAGUGCCAAAGAACUUUUGAUAAGGUCAAGCAUUGCCUGUCCAAUGCCCCAGUGCUAAUGCCACCUUAACCAGAUAAGCCACUGAUAUUGUAUUUGGCAGUGUUCGAAAACUCCAUGGGAUGCGUGUUAGGCCAACAUGAUGAGUCAGGAAGAAAAGAGAAAGCGAUAUAUUAUCUCAGUAAGAAAUUCACCGAAUGUGAGACAAGAUAUUCGCCGAUCGAGAAAUUGUGUUGUGCUUUGAUUUGGACAACCCGGAGACUGAGAGAAUAUAUGUUAUACCACACAACUUGGCUCAUCUCAAAACUAGACCCUCUGAAGUAUAUAAUGGAGUCAAAUACUUUGAACGAAAGAAUGGCUCGUUGGCAAAUUUUGCUUUUUGAGUUUUACAUAGUCUACAUGAAUCAGAAGGCUAUAAAAGGGAGCGCCAUAACUGAUUUUUUGGCCAGUAAGGCUCUAGAAGAUUAUGAGCCUUUGAGCUUUGAUUUCCCAAAUGAAGAUAUAAUGUAUGUCGCAACCGCUGAAGAAGGUUUUCAAGAAGAACAUCCUUAGAGACUGAAUUUUGACGGAGCCUCAAAUGCUGUGGGUAAUGAAAUUGGGGUAGUUUUGAUAUCCUCAAACGGAGAUCAUUAUCCCUUCACUAGUAAACUGAAUUUUGAUUGCACAAAUAAUAUGGCAGAGUACGAGGCAUGCAUCAUGGGAAUCCAUGCGGCCGUUGAACAUAAAAUUAAGAUGUUAGAAGUAUAUGGUGAUUCGACAUUAGUGAUCUAUCAGCUCAAAGGUGAAUGGGAGACAAGAGACCCUAAGUUGAUCAAUUACCGAAGGAUGGUUUUAGAGUUAAUUGAGGAGUUUGACGAUAUUUCUUUCUGUUACCUCCCACGAGAUGAAAACUAGAUGGCUGAUGCCUUGGCAACUUUAGCUUCAAUGAUCAAAGUAAAUAAGCAAGAGGAUAUGAAACUUAUCCAAAUGAGUAUCUAUGAGACUCCGGCUCAUUGUUAUAACAUCGAUGAAGAAGAAGAAAAUGAUGAUCACCCUUGGUAUUAAGACAUAUUGGGGUAUAUGAGAAAUCGUGAAUACUCAGGCCAAGCAACAGAAAAUGAUAAAAGCACAUUGAGAAGGCUAGCUAGUGACUAUGUCUUAGAUAGAGAGAUCCUAUAUAAAAGAAGGAAAGAUUAGGUGCCCUUAAGAUGUGUGGACGCUGUCGAGGCUAAGCAAAUCUUGGAAGAAGUCCAUGAGGGUGUCUGCGGAACACACGCUAAUGGUUUCACAAUGGCCAGACAAAUCAUGAGAUUCAAAUAUUAUUGGUCCAUUAUGGAGGGAGAUUGCAUCAACUAUGCCAAGAAGUGCCAUAAAUGUCAAAUUUAUGGAGAUAAGAUUUAUGUACCGCCUUCACCUCUUCAUGUCAUAACUUCCCUAUGGCCUUUUUCUAUAUGGGGCAUGGAUGUCAUAGGGCCGAUCUCACCGAAAGUAUCUAACGGGCACCGAUUCAUCUUUGUGGUCAUCGAUUACUUCACCAAAUGGGUAGAAGCCACUUCUUACACCAACAUCACAAAAUCAGCAGUCAGCAAGUUCUUAAAGAAAGAGAUUAUAUAUCGUUAUGGGAUGCUUGAGAGGAUAAUAUCAGACAAUGCACUGAACUUGAAUAAUAGCAUGAUAGCGGAGGUUUGUAACCAAUUCAAGAUCAAACACCAUAAUUCGUCACCAUAUCGCCAAAAAAUGAAUGGCACAGUGGAAACGGCCAAAUAUAAGAACAUCAAGAAGAUUGUGGGAAAAAUGACUGAGACUUAUAAAGAUUGGAAUGAGAAGUUACCAUUGGCCUUUUACGCCUACCGAACAUCAGUUAGAACCUCUACUGGGGCAACACCUUUCUCUUUGGUUUAUGGAAUGGAGGCGGUCCUACCUAUCGAGGUUGAAAUCCCUUCUUUAUGAGUGUUGUCAAAACUAAAAUUAGAUGAAGCAGAAUGGAUCCAGUCACAGUACGACCAGUUGAACUUAAUUGAAGAAAAUAGGCUGAAAGCUAUUCACCAUGGUCAAAUGUACCAAAAGCGAAUGAUGCGGGCUUAUGACAAGAAGGUUCGCCCUAGAGAAUUCUGUGAAGGAGACCUUGUUUUGAAAAAGAUUCUCCUCAUACAAAAGGACUUCAGAGGAAAAUGGAUGCCAAAUUGGGAGGGACAUUAUGUGAUGAAGAAAGCUUUCUCUGGAGGAGCUCUGAUCUUGACUGAGAUGAAUGGCAAAAGCUCACCUAACCUUGUGAAUUUAGAUUCAGUUAAGAGGUACUUUACCUAAAAAAAAAGGGGGGGAGAGACUAAGGCGAAAACCCACAAAAGGGCACUUUAAGACCAAAGGGGUUUUCAGUUGAAAACCCAGGAAUGGACAAUUCAAAUUUUAAUAAAAAAUGGGGCAUACAGUAAUUUUGUCUUCUCUGAAUUAACAAGAAGGAGGGAUGUUACAUCUUGGGGCAUCAACAAAGUACUUUUUGUCUUUUAAACACAUAUCAAGUUCAAAGGGUCCUCAAAAAGUUUUGGGCGGAGAAGCUUAUGCUACGAUAUCUGGGGCACCUAUUUUUAUUUUUUAUUCAUUUUGUAUCUUAGCAAAAUUUUCUAUCUUGAUUAUCUUAUUCAUUUCGAGCUUUUUCUCAAUAAAAUUUCGUCUUAUCCAUUGCGAUAAUCUUUUUCAAGCACUUUUUAUUGAAAUAACGAUUAAUGGACUAAUGACAUUCAAAAGGAGUUUUGCAUAUUACUCUAAAAUGAUUUUAAAUGAUACAAAGACCUGAAACGGGACUAAUUAGUUUGAAUUACCCAAAUUCAAAGAAACAUUGGAAAAUAAUGGCCCCAAUUGUGAUUAUUCUUCAAGAAAUACCAACUAAAGAGAAGGACUAAAUAAUACGUCGUUGAAAAAACCUUGAUGAACAGAAAGUAAUAUCAAAUUAAGCAUUAAAAGAAAAAUAACAUUUUUGUAUUCAUGCAAACAUCAUACACAUCUAGUUAGGAGAAUUUGAUUCAUUCAUGACAUCCUAAUCAUUUGGCAUAAGCAUAGGCUCAAGAAAUCAAUUUUACGAAUCAUGUCCCUCAGAGGAUAGUGUAGCAAGAUCGAUUGAAGCUACAAAUUAUGGCGAAUCUUAUCUUUCUGAAAUUACAGUGAAGCAGAUUAAAGCCAUCAAUCUUAUCUCCCUGAAGUUGCAGCGGAGCAGGUUGAAAUUGUAGAUCUUGUCUUUCUGAAGUUACAGUAGAGCAUAUCGAAACUAGUCUCAUUUCCCUGAAUUUGCAGUGGAGCAGACCGAAAAUAGCAGAUCUUAUCUCUCUGAAGUUGCAGUAGAGUAGAUUAAAGCUAUAAAUCCUAUACCUCUGAAGUUGCAGCAGGUCAGAUCAAAUCUACCAUGGUGAAUCCUAUUUCCCUGAAGUUGCAGUAGAGCAGAUCGAAGCCACUAACCUUAUUUCCCUGAAAUUACAGUGGAGCAGGUUGAAGUUACGAGUCUUAUCUUACUGAAGUUAUAGUGGAGCAGACUGAAAAUAACGGAUCUUAUCUCUUUGAAGUUGCAGCAGAGCAGAUUAAAGCUAUAAAUCCUAUACCUCUGAAGUUACAACAGGUCGGAUCAAAUCUACCAUGGCGAAUCUUACCUUCUUAAAGUUGCAGCAAAACAGAUUGGAGCCACCAGUCUUAUCUCACUGAAGUUGCAGUGGAGCAGAUUGAAGUCACAAACUUUAUCCCCCUGAAGUCACAUUGGGUCAGGUUGAAGCUACGAUUCUUAUCUCUCUAGAGUUGCAAUGGAGCACAUUGAGGGUACUUGAAGAAAAGAAGCGUCAAGAGGAGUCGAAACUCAGCUGGUCCAGGCAAAAUUGGCCCUUUUAUAGUCUUUGCUUCAUUCCCGUUAUACGGCAAUGAGCAAAGAGGGGCAGCUGUAAUGGGCCAAAUUUGCCCGACCCACAUAAACAAAGAACAAAAAAAACAAAAAUAAAAAAAAACCCAAAACAAAAUUAGACAGUCCAUUUACAAAUCUAACCCAGACAUGAGCCCAACAUUACAAGGCCCGAUUGGCCCAAAAUAUUUGAAAUUUUCAGAAACCUUAGGGUUUCUAUCCACUCUAGCACCGCAGCCUCGGUCGUCCCGCACCCCACAUGCCUCCGUCAGCGUACCAUCCGCUCAAUGGCUGCUUCCUUACACCGAAAUAGCAAGGUUUUCCUUCGUUGACCCUCCGUAGACUUGCAAACAUGACAAAGAAGGACAACAAGAAC
RNAcentral lists this long non-coding RNA (14967 nucleotides) under Gossypium barbadense (sea-island cotton). Its description in RNAcentral is "long non-coding RNA (GBAR_LNC008386)". Lineage: Eukaryota; Viridiplantae; Streptophyta; Magnoliopsida; Malvales; Malvaceae. The record is from RNAcentral.